GACGGAGGAUGCAAGUGUUAUCCGGAAUCACUGGGCGUAAAGCGUCUGUAGGUGGUUUAAUAAGUCAACUGUUAAAUCUUGAGGCUCAACCUCAAAAUCGCAGUCGAAACUAUUAGACUAGAGGAUAGUAGGGGUAAAGGGAAUUUCCAGUGGAGCGGUGAAAUGCGUAGAGAUUGGAAAGAACACCGAUGGCGAAGGCACUUUACUGGGCUAUUACUAACACUGAGAGACGAAAGCUAGGGUAGCAAAUGGG
This 253-nucleotide ribosomal RNA is filed under the name uncultured bacterium. Its description in RNAcentral is "partial 16S ribosomal RNA". It matches the Rfam family "Bacterial small subunit ribosomal RNA", at positions 524 to 776 of the family's 1533-position model. The record is from RNAcentral.